CAGCCGCCGCGGUAAUACGAAGGGGGCUAGCGUUGCUCGGAAUUACUGGGCGUAAAGGGAGCGUAGGCGGAUCGUUAAGUUGGGGGUGAAAGCCCGGGGCUCAACCUCGGAACUGCCUUCAAUACUGGCGAUCUUGAGUAUGAGAGAGGUGUGUGGAACUCCGAGUGUAGAGGUGAAAUUCGUAGAUAUUCGGAAGAACACCAGUGGCGAAGGCGACACACUGGCUCAUUACUGACGCUGAGGCUCGAAAGCGAGGGGAGCAAACAGGAUUAGAGACCCCCGUAGUCCCUGUCUCUUAUAC
RNAcentral lists this ribosomal RNA (301 nucleotides) under uncultured bacterium. Its description in RNAcentral is "partial 16S ribosomal RNA". It matches the Rfam family "Bacterial small subunit ribosomal RNA", at positions 509 to 807 of the family's 1533-position model. The record is from RNAcentral.